This 784-nucleotide ribosomal RNA is filed under the name uncultured Mycobacterium sp. Its description in RNAcentral is "bacterial SSU rRNA". It matches the Rfam family "Bacterial small subunit ribosomal RNA", at positions 555 to 1338 of the family's 1533-position model. The record is from RNAcentral. Lineage: Bacteria; Bacillati; Actinomycetota; Actinomycetes; Mycobacteriales; Mycobacteriaceae.
UGGGCGUAAAGAGCUCGUAGGUGGUUUGUCGCGUUGUUCGUGAAAUCUCACGGCUUAACUGUGAGCGUGCGGGCGAUACGGGCAGACUUGAGUACUGCAGGGGAGACUGGAAUUCCUGGUGUAGCGGUGGAAUGCGCAGAUAUCAGGAGGAACACCGGUGGCGAAGGCGGGUCUCUGGGCAGUAACUGACGCUGAGGAGCGAAAGCGUGGGGAGCGAACAGGAUUAGAUACCCUGGUAGUCCACGCCGUAAACGGUGGGUACUAGGUGUGGGUUUCCUUCCUUGGGAUCCGUGCCGUAGCUAACGCAUUAAGUACCCCGCCUGGGGAGUACGGCCGCAAGGCUAAAACUCAAAGAAAUUGACGGGGGCCCGCACAAGCGGCGGAGCAUGUGGAUUAAUUCGAUGCAACGCGAAGAACCUUACCUGGGUUUGACAUGCACAGGACGCCGGCAGAGAUGUCGGUUCCCUUGUGGCCUGUGUGCAGGUGGUGCAUGGCUGUCGUCAGCUCGUGUCGUGAGAUGUUGGGUUAAGUCCCGCAACGAGCGCAACCCCCGUUGUUAGUUGCCAUCAGGUAAUGCUGGGCACUCUAGCGAGACUGCCGGUGACAAACCNGGAGGAAGGUGGGGACGACGUCAAGUCAUCAUGCCCCUUAUGUCCUGGGCUACACACGUGUUACAAUGGCUAGGACAAUGCGAUGCAAUCCCGCGAGGGGGAGCGAACCGCCAAACCUAGUCUCAGUUCGGAUCGCAGGCUGCAACUCGCCUGCGUGAAGUCGGAAUCGCUAG